UGAAAGACACAGGUAGUGGGACAGAUAUUAUCUAAUAAAAGCUUGUCCUUCUAAUGUGUUUUUCGAA
RNAcentral lists this microRNA precursor (67 nucleotides) under Schmidtea mediterranea. RNAcentral's name for it is "Sme-Mir-71-o2_pre stem-loop". The record is from RNAcentral. Lineage: Eukaryota; Metazoa; Platyhelminthes; Tricladida; Dugesiidae.